AUCCCUGUAGCGCAAUGGAUAGCGCGUUGUAAUUCUAAUCCAAAGUCGUGGGUUCGAAUCCCACCUGGGAUG
RNAcentral lists this transfer RNA (72 nucleotides) under Trichonephila inaurata madagascariensis. It matches the Rfam family "tRNA". From Rfam's summary of the family: Transfer RNA (tRNA) molecules are approximately 80 nucleotides in length. Their secondary structure includes four short double-helical elements and three loops (D, anti-codon, and T loops). Lineage: Eukaryota; Metazoa; Arthropoda; Arachnida; Araneae; Nephilidae. The record is from Rfam by way of RNAcentral.